UGCAAGUCGAGCGGAUGAGAAGAGCUUGCUCUUCGAUUCAGCGGCGGACGGGUGAGUAAUACCUAGGAAUCUGCCUGGUAGUGGGGGACAACGUUUCGAAAGGAACGCUAAUACCGCAUACGUCCUACGGGAAGAAAGCAGGGGGACCUUCGGGCCUUGGCGCUAUCAGAUGACCCUAAGGUCGGUUAUAAGCUAGUUGGUGAGGUAAUGGCUCACCAAGGGCGACGCGAUCCGUAACUGGUCUGAGAGGAUGAUCAGUCACACUGGAACUGAGACACGGUCCAGACUCCUACGGGAGGCAGCAGUGGGGAAUAUUGGACAAUGGGCGAAAGCCUGAUCCAGCCAUGCCGCGUGUGUGAAGAAGGUCUUCGGAUUGUAAAGCACUUUAAGUUGGGAGGAAGGGUACUUACCUAAUACGUGAGUAUUUUGACGUUACCGACAGAAUAAGCACCGGCUAACUCUGUGCCAGCAGCCGCGGUAAUACGGAGGGUGCAAGCGUA
RNAcentral lists this ribosomal RNA (500 nucleotides) under Pseudomonas sp. RNAcentral describes it as "bacterial SSU rRNA". It matches the Rfam family "Bacterial small subunit ribosomal RNA", at positions 56 to 541 of the family's 1533-position model. The record is from RNAcentral. Lineage: Bacteria; Pseudomonadati; Pseudomonadota; Gammaproteobacteria; Pseudomonadales; Pseudomonadaceae.